Molecule: long non-coding RNA, 1188 nt
Filed under: Aplysia californica (California sea hare)
Lineage: Eukaryota; Metazoa; Mollusca; Gastropoda; Aplysiida; Aplysiidae
Description: uncharacterized LOC101856754, transcript variant X3
Source: RNAcentral
GGUGGCAGCAGUAGAACAGGCUGGGAAGAGCUGCUUGCUGAUUUUCAACUUGAGUGUUGAAGUGACUUUUGUUUACUGGAUUGUUCUUUGCAGCGUAUUGGUGUGGCACUGUCAGAAUUGUAUCAGUGGUGUUGUAAAAUGUAUACUCAGUGGAUCAAACACUGCCAGCUGUUCCUUUGGCUUUUGACCAUCGUGUGGUAGAUGUUCUGAUACCACCAGUAGGACAGGACAGCCUGUAGGAAGGACCACCUAUGUGACUGGAAGACCGCAAAUACGCAGUGAUGAAUGAUGGGCAGCCGGAGAAGGGCACAUUAGACUGAGGACAAGACAAUAGGAGCGUUUAUAUCGAGAGUGUCAAGAAACGAGAAGGGAGGAAUGAUGACCAGAAUCAGAAGGGAGCUUCCGAAGCAGCCGUACGUGGCCAUCUGCUGCAAAGAAGACGCACAGAAGAUCACUGAUCUGAAUUUGUUCAAGACGGGAGAUGCACUAAGACAGGUUCUGGGAUACAUUCCUACGAAUGUCCAGAAGCUGUCCUCUGGUGUACCUAUGUGACUGGAAGACCGCAAAUACGCAGUGAGGAACAAUGGGCAGCCGGAGAAGACUGAGGACAAGACCAAUGGAGCGUUUAUAUCGAGAGUGUCAAGAAACGAGAAGGGAGGAAUGAUGACCAGAAUCAGAAGACGUCCUGCAGCACCGGUUGAUCGCCUACAAGAGCAGAUUGUCGUCCAUAUCCACUGUAUCGAGAAACAAGUAGUGUAGGAUGAUCAUCCCUAGAAGAUUACUGUCACUCAUCAGACUUUUCGCAAGAAGGUGCUGGUGUUAUCAGUAAGUCUACCACAGAAGGUAGAAGGUCAAAUAAACAGCUUGUAGAGUUUGUUUGAUCCUUUUUGAGUACACUUUUUACAGCAUCAUUGAAACAGUAAUGGCAGUGCGGCACCAACAAGCUGCAAAGAACAAGCUAGUAGGCAAAAUUCACUUCCAACACUCAAGCACAAAAUCAUUUGGCAGCUCUUCCCACCCAAUUCUACUUCUGUCACCCCCCUUCCCUCUUGAAAAGACCCCUACCUACACUGCUGUGGCCUUGUAAAGAUAGGUUGACAGGGAGCUAAGUGGAUAGGGUAAGUUUAGCGUAGGAUUUUGUAGAUAGUAUUGCCAUGGCCAUGGCGGGAGGGAGUUGAGGGGGCAGUG